Molecule: ribosomal RNA, 450 nt
Filed under: uncultured bacterium
Lineage: Bacteria
Description: bacterial SSU rRNA
Rfam family: Bacterial small subunit ribosomal RNA
Source: RNAcentral
GUGGGGAAUAUUGGACAAUGGGCGAAAGCCUGAUCCAGCCAUGCCGCGUGUGUGAAGAAGGUCUUCGGAUUGUAAAGCACUUUAAGUUGGGAGGAAGGGCAUUAACCUAAUACGUUAGUGUUUUGACGUUACCGACAGAAUAAGCACCGGCUAACUUCGUGCCAGCAGCCGCGGUAAUACGAAGGGUGCAAGCGUUAAUCGGAAUUACUGGGCGUAAAGCGCGCGUAGGUGGUUUGUUAAGUUGAAUGUGAAAGCCCCGGGCUCAACCUGGGAACUGCAUCCAAAACUGGCAAGCUAGAGUAUGGCAGAGGGUGGUGGAAUUUCCUGUGUAGCGGUGAAAUGCGUAGAUAUAGGAAGGAACACCAGUGGCGAAGGCGACCACCUGGGCUAAUACUGACACUGAGGUGCGAAAGCGUGGGGAGCAAACAGGAUUAGAAACCCUAGUAGUCC